CAGGUCUUGACAUCCUCUGACAACCCUAGAGAUAGGGCGUUCCCCUUCGGGGGACAGAGUGACAGGUGGUGCAUGGUUGUCGUCAGCUCGUGUCGUGAGAUGUUGGGUUAAGUCCCGCAACGAGCGCAACCCUUGAUCUUAGUUGCCAGCAUUCAGUUGGGCACUCUAAGGUGACUGCCGGUGACAAACCGGAGGAAGGUGGGGAUGACGUCAAAUCAUCAUGCCCCUUAUGACCUGGGCUACACACGUGCUACAAUGGAUGGAACAAAGGGUCGCGAAGCCGCGAGGUCGAGCCAAUCCCAUAAAUCCAUUCUCAGUUCGGAUUGCAGGCUGCAACUCGCCUGCAUGAAGCCGGAAUCGCUAGUAAUCGCGGAUCAGCAUGCCGCGGUGAAUACGUUCCC
RNAcentral lists this ribosomal RNA (401 nucleotides) under uncultured bacterium. Its description in RNAcentral is "bacterial SSU rRNA". It matches the Rfam family "Bacterial small subunit ribosomal RNA", at positions 975 to 1375 of the family's 1533-position model. The record is from RNAcentral.